RNAcentral lists this unclassified non-coding RNA (432 nucleotides) under soil metagenome. RNAcentral describes it as "partial contains 5.8S ribosomal RNA, internal transcribed spacer 2, and large subunit ribosomal RNA". The stretch from base 1 to 120 matches the Rfam family "5.8S ribosomal RNA", at positions 35 to 154 of the family's 154-position model. The record is from RNAcentral.
GAUGAAGAACGCAGCGAAAUGCGAUACGUAAUGUGAAUUGCAGUAUUCAGUGAAUCAUCGAAUCUUUGAACGCAUAUUGCGCUCUCUGGUAUUCCGGAGAGCAUGCUUGUUUGAGUAUCAGUAAACACCUCAACUUCCAUAUCUUUUUUUGAAAUGGGAGUUGGACUUGAGUGAUCCCAACGCUUUUCCUCACCGAAAAGUGGCGGGUUACUUGAAAUGCAGGUGCAGCUGGACUUUUCUCUGAGCUAUAAGCAUAUCUAUUAGUCUGCCUAAAAAACAGAUUAUUACCUUUGCUGCAGCUAACAUAAAGGAGAUUAGUUCUUGUGCUGACUGAUGCAGGAUUCACAAAGACAGCUUCGGCCGACUUUGUAAACUCGAUCUCAAAUCAAGUAAGACUACCCGCUGAACUUAAGCAUAUCAAUAAGCGGAGGA